RNAcentral lists this microRNA (22 nucleotides) under Dasypus novemcinctus (nine-banded armadillo). RNAcentral describes it as "Dno-Mir-505-v2_3p (mature (guide))". The record is from RNAcentral. Lineage: Eukaryota; Metazoa; Chordata; Mammalia; Cingulata; Dasypodidae. RNAcentral also lists the same sequence under 10 other names.
GUCAACACUUGCUGGUUUCCUC